RNAcentral lists this ribosomal RNA (427 nucleotides) under uncultured prokaryote. RNAcentral's name for it is "bacterial SSU rRNA". It matches the Rfam family "Bacterial small subunit ribosomal RNA", at positions 355 to 774 of the family's 1533-position model. The record is from RNAcentral.
UGGGGAAUAUUGGACAAUGGGCGAAAGCCUGAUCCAGCCAUGCCGCGUGUGUGAAGAAGGUCUUCGGAUUGUAAAGCACUUUAAGUUGGGAGGAAGGGCAGUAACCUAAUACGUUAUUGUUUUGACGUUACCGACAGAAUAAGCACCGGCUAACUCUGUGCCAGCAGCCGCGGUAAUACAGAGGGUGCAAGCGUUAAUCGGAAUUACUGGGCGUAAAGCGCGCGUAGGUGGUUUGUUAAGUUGGAUGUGAAAGCCCCGGGCUCAACCUGGGAACUGCAUCCAAAACUGGCAAGCUAGAGUAUGGUAGAGGGUGGUGGAAUUUCCUGUGUAGCGGUGAAAUGCGUAGAUAUAGGAAGGAACACCAGUGGCGAAGGCGACCACCUGGACUGAUACUGACACUGAGGUGCGAAAGCGUGGGGAGCAAACA